This 253-nucleotide ribosomal RNA is filed under the name uncultured Ignavibacteria bacterium. Its description in RNAcentral is "partial 16S ribosomal RNA". It matches the Rfam family "Bacterial small subunit ribosomal RNA", at positions 524 to 776 of the family's 1533-position model. The record is from RNAcentral. Lineage: Bacteria; Pseudomonadati; Ignavibacteriota; Ignavibacteria.
UACGUAGGGGGCAAGCGUUGUCCGGAUUUACUGGGUGUAAAGGGCGCGUAGGCGGGCUUGUAAGUCAGCGGUGAAAUCCUAUAGCUUAACUAUAGAACUGCCGUUGAAACUACAAGUCUUGAGUUUGGAAGAGAGUAGCGGAAUUCCAGGUGUAGUAGUGAAAUACGUAGAUAUCUGGAAGAACACCAGUGGCGAAGGCGGCUACUUGGUCCAUAACUGACGCUGAGGCGCGAAAGCGUGGGGAGCAAACAGG